Molecule: long non-coding RNA, 221 nt
Filed under: Elaeis guineensis (African oil palm)
Lineage: Eukaryota; Viridiplantae; Streptophyta; Magnoliopsida; Arecales; Arecaceae
Description: long non-coding RNA (EGUI_LNC017586)
Source: RNAcentral
GAUGAGGCAGAUUAUAUUUCACUUAUCUUGAUCUUGAGCUCGAUGCCCAUUCUCACUGAUCUGAUCAUUUUGUACUAGAUUUUUUAGGUUAUUUAGUUGUUAUAUUUUGUUGAAUGUAUAAGAGCUUUAUGCUCAUAGAUAUAUAUUAUGACUCUUGUAACCUCUCUUUUUGUUGUAAUUAAUGAAUGAGGUUAUCCUUUAGUAUCACUUUGUAUGGCCCA